This 346-nucleotide small nucleolar RNA is filed under the name Naumovozyma dairenensis CBS 421. RNAcentral describes it as "Fungal small nucleolar RNA U3". It matches the Rfam family "Fungal small nucleolar RNA U3". Rfam says of the family: Small nucleolar RNAs (snoRNAs) are involved in the processing and modification of rRNA in the nucleolus. There are two main classes of snoRNAs: the box C/D class, and the box H/ACA class. Lineage: Eukaryota; Fungi; Ascomycota; Saccharomycetes; Saccharomycetales; Saccharomycetaceae. The record is from Rfam by way of RNAcentral.
UAACACCUUCUACAGUAGGAUCAUUUCUAUAGGAAUCGUCACUCUUUGACUCUUCAAAAGAGCCACUGAAUCCAACUUGGUUGAUGAGUGACAAAACCUUUGUACCCAAGAGUGAGAAUUUAAAAUUACAUUUUUUGAAUAGCUUGGUCCGUAAUCCUUAGCGGUUCGGCCAUCUAACUUAUUUCUUAAUUGAAAUUUUUGCUUUGCCGUUUGCAUGAAUGAUCUUUUCCACUUGUGGAUUAGUGAUUUCUAUCUUUAAAUGGCGCGAUGAUCUUGACCCUUUCUAUGUACUCUUUAAUUAGAGGGAUGGAUAUUUUGGGUGGGUACAAAUGGCAGUCUGACAAGU